RNAcentral lists this transfer RNA (73 nucleotides) under Ipomoea nil (Japanese morning glory). It matches the Rfam family "tRNA". From Rfam's summary of the family: Transfer RNA (tRNA) molecules are approximately 80 nucleotides in length. Their secondary structure includes four short double-helical elements and three loops (D, anti-codon, and T loops). Lineage: Eukaryota; Viridiplantae; Streptophyta; Magnoliopsida; Solanales; Convolvulaceae. The record is from Rfam by way of RNAcentral.
GAUUCCAUGGCCCAAUGGAUAAGGUGUUGGACUAUGAAUCUAGAGAUUUUGGGUUCAAUCCCAAGUGGAGUCG